GACGAACGCUGGCGGCGUGCUUAACACAUGCAAGUCGAACGGAAAGGCCCUGCUUUUGUGGGGUGCUCGAGUGGCGAACGGGUGAGUAACACGUGAGUAACCUGCCCUUGACUUUGGGAUAACUUCAGGAAACUGGGGCUAAUACCGGAUAGGAGCUCCUGCUGCAUGGUGGGGGUUGGAAAGUUUCGGCGGUUGGGGAUGGACUCGCGGCUUAUCAGCUUGUUGGUGGGGUAGUGGCUUACCAAGGCUUUGACGGGUAGCCGGCCUGAGAGGGUGACCGGCCACAUGGGACCUGGGAAACGGCCCGAACUCCUACGGGAGGCAGCGGGGGGGAAUAUUGAAAAUGGGCGGAAGCCUGAUGCAGCAACGCCGCGUGCGGGAUGACGGCCUUCGGGUUGUAAACCGCUUUCGCCUGUGACGAAGCGUGAGUGACGGUAAUGGGUAAAGAAGCACCGGCUAACUACGUG
RNAcentral lists this ribosomal RNA (467 nucleotides) under uncultured bacterium. RNAcentral describes it as "partial 16S ribosomal RNA". It matches the Rfam family "Bacterial small subunit ribosomal RNA", at positions 28 to 507 of the family's 1533-position model. The record is from RNAcentral.